Cydia splendana is the source of this 408-nucleotide long non-coding RNA. RefSeq lists it as uncharacterized. The record is from RefSeq and is a predicted model, not a curated record. The transcript has 3 exons. NCBI's taxonomy places the organism in Eukaryota, Metazoa, Arthropoda, Insecta, Lepidoptera, Tortricidae.
GUUUUAUGUUUGUUUGCUUCAUUACUCAUUACUUUAAUUUCUUUCUCAUUUAAUUAAAUUUCGUAAUGAAAUAAACUAAAAUACUAGCAAACUACUCUAUACUGUCAUGUGAGACCUGCGAUCAAUAGCCUUAAGAAUCCAAAAUGAGACCGAACCCAUGAUGAUCCUAACUGCCUCGGCCCAAAAGAAAUAAACAUGUUAAAGUACAAAAUAGAUCCUAUAUCCCCAAAAUCGGCGCCAGUGUCAGCGACCCUAUCAUACUCCCACCCUGGAGUGACCCUGUCAGCUGUGAACCCAGUGGCUUAUGGAAAUAUAUCCCCUGAACACUUGGUGGAGUCAAAAGCUGGAUAUCUGUUGAUGAAACAUCAAACUAACAAGAGUGAUCUGUAAUACAAUCACUUUAUUAAA